UACGGAGGGUGCAAGCGUUAUCCGGAUUCACUGGGUUUAAAGGGUGCGUAGGCGGGCAGGUAAGUCAGAGGUGAAAUCUCCGGGCUCAACCCGGAAACUGCCUUUGAUACUAUCUGUCUUGAAUAUGGUGGAGGUAAGCGGAAUAUGUCAUGUAGCGGUGAAAUGCUUAGAGAUGACAUAGAACACCUAUUGCGAAGGCAGCUUACUACGCCUAUAUUGACACUGAGGCUCGAAAGCGUGGGGAUCAAACAGG
Molecule: ribosomal RNA, 253 nt
Filed under: uncultured bacterium
Lineage: Bacteria
Description: partial 16S ribosomal RNA
Rfam family: Bacterial small subunit ribosomal RNA
Source: RNAcentral